Molecule: ribosomal RNA, 405 nt
Filed under: Triticum aestivum (bread wheat)
Lineage: Eukaryota; Viridiplantae; Streptophyta; Magnoliopsida; Poales; Poaceae
Description: partial small subunit ribosomal RNA
Source: RNAcentral
AUGCAGUCGGUUGGAGAUCACUCGACGGCUACGCCAGAGGCCGAGCCGGCAGGUCGGUUGCUUGUCCGGGUGUUCAGCAGCGGGGCCAGAGCCUUGACGACGAUGCUCAUGUUUGGCCGGAAAUCUGCCUCGUACUGUACGCACAGGGCAGCCACGGCAGCCAUCUGUUUGCCACAACAUAUGAAAAAGUCAUGCCCACAACUUGGGAAAAGAGCAUCCAAUUUGGUUUCACCUUCAGUGACUUAUGAUCUUGAUUCGUCUACUAUCAUUGAAAUUUUGCAAUACCAGCUACACAACAAUCACAGACAUCAUUGCCAGCUCCUUUGCCAGAUUGCUAGUUCAUUGCGGCCUGUAGAGAUGCCCUACCCCCUCCAAGAGUGCAAACUACUGCAACACUUGGCUUGA